AUGUCCGGAAGCACGGGAGAACGUUCUUUUGCUGAUAUUAUUACCAGUAUUUGAUACUGGGUUAUUCAUAGCAUUAAUAUACCUUCCCUAUUCAUUGCGGUUUGGUUAUUUGUCAGUACGGGUUUAGCUUAUGGCGUGUUUAUUAGUCCUAGGCCAAACGAGUAUUUCACGGAAAGCUGACAAGGAAUUCCGUUAAUAACCGGCCGUUUUAAUUCUUUAGAACAACUCGAUGAAUUUAGUAGAUCCUUCUAG
Molecule: ribosomal RNA, 252 nt
Filed under: Triticum aestivum (bread wheat)
Lineage: Eukaryota; Viridiplantae; Streptophyta; Magnoliopsida; Poales; Poaceae
Description: partial small subunit ribosomal RNA
Source: RNAcentral